This 324-nucleotide ribosomal RNA is filed under the name uncultured eukaryote. RNAcentral describes it as "partial 18S ribosomal RNA". It matches the Rfam family "Eukaryotic small subunit ribosomal RNA", at positions 1470 to 1796 of the family's 1831-position model. The record is from RNAcentral.
CCCUUAGAUGUUCUGGGCUGCACGCGCGCUACACUGAUGCGCUCAACGAGUUUAUGACCUUGCCCGGAAGGGUUGGGUAAUCUUCUUAAAACGCAUCGUGAUGGGGAUAGAUUAUUGCAAUUAUUAAUCUUCAACGAGGAAUUCCUAGUAAGCGCGAGUCAUCAGCUCGUGCUGAUUACGUCCCUGCCCUUUGUACACACCGCCCGUCGCUCCUACCGAUUGAAUGUUCCGGUGAGCUCUUCGGACUGCGCGGUCUGCAGUUUCUGCGUUCCGUGCGGAAAGUUGCGCAAACCUUAACAUUUAGAGGAAGGAGAAGUCGUAACA